GCGUUGGAUUGUUUCCGCCCUCUACCGUGACGUGAGAGUCUUAGGAUGGGAGAUGUUACAGAACCAGCAGGGGAAAUCCAGAUGGGUGAUCUUCCACCAGAGAUAGAGAUAGCCCUCAUCUCUACACCUCUGCCAUAACU
This is a small nucleolar RNA of Ornithorhynchus anatinus (platypus), 140 nucleotides long. RefSeq annotates it as small nucleolar RNA SNORA55. Lineage: Eukaryota; Metazoa; Chordata; Mammalia; Monotremata; Ornithorhynchidae. The transcript has a single exon. The record is from RefSeq and is a predicted model, not a curated record.